Molecule: transfer RNA, 77 nt
Filed under: Clostridioides difficile
Lineage: Bacteria; Bacillati; Bacillota; Clostridia; Peptostreptococcales; Peptostreptococcaceae
Also listed under: 63 other names
Description: tRNA-Phe(gaa)
Rfam family: tRNA
About the family: Transfer RNA (tRNA) molecules are approximately 80 nucleotides in length. Their secondary structure includes four short double-helical elements and three loops (D, anti-codon, and T loops). Further hydrogen bonds mediate the characteristic L-shaped molecular structure. tRNAs have two regions of fundamental functional importance: the anti-codon, which is responsible for specific mRNA codon recognition, and the 3' end, to which the tRNAs corresponding amino acid is attached (by aminoacyl-tRNA synthetases). tRNAs cope with the degeneracy of the genetic code in two manners: having more than one tRNA (with a specific anti-codon) for a particular amino acid; and 'wobble' base-pairing, i.e. permitting non-standard base-pairing at the 3rd anti-codon position.
Source: RNAcentral
GGCCAGGUAGCUCAGUUGGUACGAGCGUCCGCCUGAAAAGCGGAAGGUCGUCGGUUCGAUCCCGACUCUGGCCACCA